CAAUUUUCAACUAUAAAAUCAUCACUACCACCGCUAGAUUCACCAUCACCAGAUCCAACCAAAACUACCACCACUGUCCUCAAAUCCAACAAAGCCACCGUGAAAUCCACCACCACUAGAUCCGCUAUCGAUCUAACAAAAAUCAUGACCACCUCCAAAUCCACUCCCACCGUCACCAACAAAAUCCAUCGGCAAAACAUGGAAAUCACAGCCACCAUCAUUCCAACAACUUGCUGCAACUCCAAAAAUACCAACAAAAUCCCUGAAACCAACAACCAAUGCACAAGGUCGCAUGAGGUACUUGUGUGCAUGGCUUCUCUACGCAGCAACGAUGAUACUGCUACUGCAGCGUUGCAACAGAGAAGCAUCGCUGAUGCCAUGAGCAGCCUUUGUGCGCGAUGCUACAUAGAGAAGCCUUGUCAACAGUUGCGCACGACUAGCGCGGUGCUGCAUUGUUGCUCCCUUUUCGUUUCGACGCCCUUCCACCUCCUCGCAGGCGCCUUUGCGUCUGGUGGCGAUGAUAAGGUUGAGAGAAUGAGAGGUAGAGUAGAGAGAGAAUGGUCGAGAAGGAGCAGGAAAAUGAAUAUUAGGGUUUGAGGUGUAGG
Molecule: long non-coding RNA, 605 nt
Filed under: Olea europaea subsp. europaea
Lineage: Eukaryota; Viridiplantae; Streptophyta; Magnoliopsida; Lamiales; Oleaceae
Source: RNAcentral